This 301-nucleotide ribosomal RNA is filed under the name uncultured bacterium. RNAcentral describes it as "partial 16S ribosomal RNA". It matches the Rfam family "Bacterial small subunit ribosomal RNA", at positions 509 to 808 of the family's 1533-position model. The record is from RNAcentral.
CAGUAGCCACGGGAAUGCGAAGGGGGCUAGCGUUGCUCGGAAUGACUGGGCGUAAAGGGCGCGUAGGCGGAUUGUUUAGUUAGGCGUGGAAUUCCUGGGCUUAACCGGGGACUGCGCUUAAUACAGGCAGUCUAGAGUGAGGAAGAGGGUUGUGGAAUUCCCAGUGUAGAGGUGAAAUUCGUAGAUAUUGGGAAGAACACCGGUGGCGAAGGCGGCAACCUGGUCCUUGACUGACGCUGAGGCGCGAAAGCGUGGGGAGCAAACAGGAUUAGAGACCCGUGUAGUCCCUGUCUCUUAUACA